GAUGAACGCUCGCGGCAGGCUUAACACAUGCAAGUCGAGGGGCAGCGCGGGAUAGCAAUAUCCUGGCGGCGACCGGCGGAAGGGUGCGUAACGCGUGAGCGACAUGCCCGUUGCCCGGGGACAACCGGUGGAAACGCCGACUAGUCCCCGAUGGGAUAUUGUGCCGCAUGGCACGAUAUUGAAAGUUACGGCGGCGACGGAUUGGCUCGCGUCCGAUUAGCUUGUUGGCGGGGUAACGGCCCACCAAGGCUGCGAUCGGUAGGGGUUCUGAGAGGAAGGCCCCCCACAAUGGGACUGAGACACGGCCCAUACUCCUACGGGAGGCAGCAGUGAGGAAGAUUGGUCAAUGGGCGGAAGCCUGAACCAGCCAUGCCGCGUGCGGGAAGGAGGCCCUAUGGGCUGUGAACCGCUUUUGCCUGGGGGCAAUAAGGGCGUCGCGCACGUCCGAUGAGAGUACCAGGCGAAUAAGCAUCGGCUAACUCCGUG
This 486-nucleotide ribosomal RNA is filed under the name uncultured bacterium. Its description in RNAcentral is "partial 16S ribosomal RNA". It matches the Rfam family "Bacterial small subunit ribosomal RNA", at positions 28 to 507 of the family's 1533-position model. The record is from RNAcentral.